GUGGGGAAUAUUGGGCAAUGGGCGCAAGCCUGACCCAGCAACGCCGCGUGAAGGAAGAAGGCUUUCGGGUUGUAAACUUCUUUUGUUGGGGACGAGUAGAAGACGGUACCUGACGAAUAAGCCACGGCUAACUACGUGCCAGCAGCCGCGGUAAUACGUAGGUGGCAAGCGUUGUCCGGAUUUACUGGGUGUAAAGGGCGUGUAGCCGGGUUGGCAAGUCAGAUGUGAAAUCUAUGGGCUUAACUCAUAAACUGCAUUUGAAACUGCUGAUCUUGAGUAUCGGAGAGGCAAUCGGAAUUCCUAGUGUAGCGGUGAAAUGCGUAGAUAUUAGGAGGAACACCAGUGGCGAAGGCGGAUUGCUGGACGACAACUGACGGUGAGGCGCGAAAGCGUGGGGAGCAAACAGG
This 407-nucleotide ribosomal RNA is filed under the name uncultured rumen bacterium. Its description in RNAcentral is "bacterial SSU rRNA". It matches the Rfam family "Bacterial small subunit ribosomal RNA", at positions 354 to 776 of the family's 1533-position model. The record is from RNAcentral.